GCUGGGUGUGGUGGCGCACACCUGUAGUCCCAGCUACUUGGGAGGCUGAGGUGGGAGGAUUACUUGAGCCCAGGAGGUAAAAUCUGCAGUGAGCCAUGAUCAUACCACUGCACUCCAGCCUGAGUAACAGAGCAAGACCCUGCCUCAA
Molecule: unclassified non-coding RNA, 148 nt
Organism: Pongo abelii (Sumatran orangutan)
Lineage: Eukaryota; Metazoa; Chordata; Mammalia; Primates; Hominidae
Rfam family: Metazoan signal recognition particle RNA
About the family: The signal recognition particle (SRP) is a universally conserved ribonucleoprotein.
Source: Ensembl